RNAcentral lists this ribosomal RNA (927 nucleotides) under uncultured bacterium. RNAcentral describes it as "bacterial SSU rRNA". It matches the Rfam family "Bacterial small subunit ribosomal RNA", at positions 59 to 950 of the family's 1533-position model. The record is from RNAcentral.
CAGUCGACGAGUUCUCGUUGAUGAUCGGUGCUUGCACCGAGAUUCAACAUCGAACGAGUGGCGGACGGGUGAGUAACACGUGGGUAACCUGCCCUUAAGUGGGGGAUAACAUUUGGAAACAGAUGCUAAUACCGCAUAGAUCCAAGAACCGCAUGGUUCUUGGCUGAAAGAUGGCGUAAGCUAUCGCUUUUGGAUGGACCCGCGGCGUAUUAGCUAGUUGGUGAGGUAAUGGCUCACCAAGGCGAUGAUACGUAGCCGAACUGAGAGGUUGAUCGGCCACAUUGGGACUGAGACACGGCCCAAACUCCUACGGGAGGCAGCAGUAGGGAAUCUUCCACAAUGGACGCAAGUCUGAUGGAGCAACGCCGCGUGAGUGAAGAAGGCUUUCGGGUCGUAAAACUCUGUUGUUGGAGAAGAAUGGUCGGCAGAGUAACUGUUGUCGGCGUGACGGUAUCCAACCAGAAAGCCACGGCUAACUACGUGCCAGCAGCCGCGGUAAUACGUAGGUGGCAAGCGUUAUCCGGAUUUAUUGGGCGUAAAGCGAGCGCAGGCGGUUUUUUAAGUCUGAUGUGAAAGCCCUCGGCUUAACCGAGGAAGCGCAUCGGAAACUGGGAAACUUGAGUGCAGAAGAGGACAGUGGAACUCCAUGUGUAGCGGUGAAAUGCGUAGAUAUAUGGAAGAACACCAGUGGCGAAGGCGGCUGUCUGGUCUGUAACUGACGCUGAGGCUCGAAAGCAUGGGUAGCGAACAGGAUUAGAUACCCUGGUAGUCCAUGCCGUAAACGAUGAAUGCUAGGUGUUGGAGGGUUUCCGCCCUUCAGUGCCGCAGCUAACGCAUUAAGCAUUCCGCCUGGGGAGUACGACCGCAAGGUUGAAACUCAAAGGAAUUGACGGGCGCCCGCACAAGCGGUGGAGCAUGUGGUUUAAU